CCGCUGGGGAGUACGGUCGCAAGACUGAAACUCAAAGGAAUUGACGGGGGCCCGCACAAGCGGUGGAGUAUGUGGUUUAAUUCGAUGCAACGCGAAGAACUUACUGGCCUCGACAUCUGUCGAAUCCUGCAGAGAUGCGGGAGUGCCGCAAGGAACGACAAGACAGGUGCUGCAUGGCUGUCGUCAGCUCGUGUCGUGAGAUGUUGGGUUAAGUCCCGCAACGAGCGCAACCCUUGUCCCUAGUUGUCCAGCACGUAAUGGUGGGAACUCUAGGGAGACUGCCGGUGACAAACCGGAGGAAGGUGGGGAUGACGUCAAGUCCUCAUGGCCUUACGGCCAGGGCUACACACGUACUACAAUGGUCGGUACAGAGGGUUGCGAAGCGCGAGCGAAGCCAAUCCCAGAAAACCGAUCCCAGUCCGGAUUGGAGUCUGCAACUCGACUCCAUGAAGUCGGAAUCGCUAGUAANCGCGAAUCAGCUAUGUCGCGGUGAAUACGUUCCCNNNCCUUGU
Molecule: ribosomal RNA, 512 nt
Filed under: uncultured bacterium
Lineage: Bacteria
Description: bacterial SSU rRNA
Rfam family: Bacterial small subunit ribosomal RNA
Source: RNAcentral